UGUUAAUGACAGGAUUCGAACCCAUGUCAACUACGUGAGACAAAGAGGCACUGGCCACUACGCUACCACAAC
This 72-nucleotide transfer RNA is filed under the name Triticum aestivum (bread wheat). Its description in RNAcentral is "tRNA_PseudoCTC". The record is from RNAcentral. Lineage: Eukaryota; Viridiplantae; Streptophyta; Magnoliopsida; Poales; Poaceae.